UCUGGACGUCGUGACAGGAUUCACACUUCACCUCCAAGACCUUCAAGCUUCAGAUGAAUCAAACCCAACAGACAGCUGGCUCUGUCCGGACGCUUCCCCCCUGGUCCAGUUUGGCUCCAGCAGGUGUCAUGUGGUGGAUCUUCCAGCUGGAGGUGCUGCUUCACUCCUCCGUGUCCCGGGCGGAGGUGUGGUCCAGGCUGCUGGUGGCGGGCCUGCUGUGCGUGGUGCUGGCGGUCUCUUUGUGGGCCCUGAGGCGCCGCCUGGGGCCACGGCGGAACCAGGAGGAACCCAAACAGUUUCGGGAAGCUGUUCAGAAAAGCAAGAAGAACCACUUUCUGUGGACGUCCCAGAGCAGAAGUCCAGAGCUCCAAGUUCCCGUUUCCGUGGCUCUGGCAGACUCUGUGCUCCUCUGUGUCCUUCAGGAGACCCUCCAGGAGCCCAGUGUGGCCCACAUUGAGGCCCUCCUCUCCAGGUUAGAGGCAGUGGCUCGCUCUCUGGAGAACACCAGCGUCGGAUCAGAACCAAAACCAGAGGAGGACGGAGGCGGCACGCUGUCAGACAAAGUGAAACUGACCUCCGGCUACCUGCAGGAUAGGAUUGGGUCUCUGCAGGCUCUCGUCCAGGUGCAGGCGGGUUUCGAAGCCAGCGUGGAGGACAUGCUGCAGGGCCUGGACGGCCUCUGGAAGCAGCUGGAAGAUCUGCACACAGGGGUCACGCUGUCCAAACGGGAGGGGCAAGGUCACAAAGAUCUGGAUUCAGCGCAGACCGAGGCGGAGACUCUGUUUGCGGUUCUGAAUCACUACAAGAACCAGCUUGGUUCAUGUGAGGUCCAGCUGAAGGAGAGCACGCAGCUGCUGCAGGAGCUGACGUGGAGCCACACCCACAUCUGCAACAAGGUGAACAGCAGCAGCGAGUCCGUCUGGCCCGAGCUCCUCCUGCAGGCCAACAUCGAGCAGUUCGACAAGGUGCAGGAGAGCUUCACCUGCCUGGAGCAGCAGACCUCCACCUUCCAGGCCCACCUGGAGGGGCUCGGGAAAGGACAUCAGGAGCUGAUCUCCGCUGCUGGUCCGAGUUCAGCGACUCGUCAGGACGGCGAGGAGCCGGCGGAGCGCUCCGACGCCGCAGGCUCGGGAAAGAGCUCCUCCCUGCUGCUGUGUGGGAGGUCCGGCCGGCCCCUCUCCUCCCCGUUUGGACGUCUGCGCAAAAACGCAAAGAAAAAGUGAUGCUGGUGUCUCUGUACGUCCAGAAGAUUCUGCAGAUGUUGAUCGUCUGAUUAUUUAGUCUUUUGUCUGCAGCUUGAUGCUGAGUCAUUUCUUAAAGAAAAUAUUGUUUUACGGGCUGUAGAAAGUCAGAAAGGUCGUGGGUCAAAUCCUGCUUGGGUUCUUUCUGUGUAAAGUUUUUUGCCCUGUGACGGUUUGGGGACCUGUCCAGGACGUACUGCGCCUUCAUAGGGAUAGGCUCCAGCAACCCUCUGACCCCUAAAGGGAAAGAGCAGGUUUAGAAAAUGGAAACAAAACACAAGAGGGCGCACUUCCCCCAUUUAUGACCCGAGUUCACGUUUGAAAGAGAAAAACUGGAAUCACCAAACCAAACAUGUCAAAAUAUGUUUUUUUAAAUUGUCAGAAACAUGGUAAAUUAUUCAACUGUUAUUUAUGCAUAAAUAUGAAAAAACCCGCGUGUUUGGUUAUUUUGUAAAAUGUUUGCCUCUGUCUGCAGUAGCUUUAGCAUCUGCAGGAGUCCGAGCGUCUGCGUCAGACCGAAUGUCUGCAGUAGCUUUAGCAUCUGCAGCGGUCCGAGCGUCUGC
RNAcentral lists this long non-coding RNA (1804 nucleotides) under Oryzias javanicus (javanese ricefish). RNAcentral describes it as "lncRNA (ENSOJAG00000002473.1)". The record is from RNAcentral. Lineage: Eukaryota; Metazoa; Chordata; Actinopteri; Beloniformes; Adrianichthyidae.